Molecule: ribosomal RNA, 428 nt
Filed under: uncultured Citrifermentans sp.
Lineage: Bacteria; Pseudomonadati; Thermodesulfobacteriota; Desulfuromonadia; Geobacterales; Geobacteraceae
Description: bacterial SSU rRNA
Rfam family: Bacterial small subunit ribosomal RNA
Source: RNAcentral
UGGGGAAUUUUGCGCAAUGGGGGAAACCCUGACGCAGCAACGCCGCGUGAGUGAUGAAGGCUUUCGGGUCGUAAAGCUCUGUCAGAGGGGAAGAAAUGAUGAGGUGCUAAUACCACUUCUUCUUGACGGUACCCUCAAAGGAAGCACCGGCUAACUCCGUGCCAGCAGCCGCGGUAAUACGGAGGGUGCAAGCGUUGUUCGGAUUUAUUGGGCGUAAAGCGCGUGUAGGCGGUCUUCUAAGUCUGAUGUGAAAGCCCUGGGCUCAACCCAGGAAGUGCAUUGGAUACUGGGAGACUUGAAUACGGGAGAGGGUAGUGGAAUUCCUAGUGUAGGAGUGAAAUCCGUAGAUAUUAGGAGGAACACCGGUGGCGAAGGCGGCUACCUGGACCGAUAUUGACGCUGAGACGCGAAAGCGUGGGGAGCAAACA